Molecule: ribosomal RNA, 565 nt
Filed under: uncultured Alphaproteobacteria bacterium
Lineage: Bacteria; Pseudomonadati; Pseudomonadota; Alphaproteobacteria
Description: bacterial SSU rRNA
Rfam family: Bacterial small subunit ribosomal RNA
Source: RNAcentral
UUAACACAUGCAAGUCGAGCGCCCCGCAAGGGGAGCGGCAGACGGGUGAGUAACGCGUGGGAAUCUACCCAUCUCUACGGAAUAACGCAUGGAAACGUGUGCUAAUACCGUAUACGUCCUUCGGGAGAAAGAUUUAUCGGAGAUGGAUGAGCCCGCGUUGGAUUAGCUAGUUGGUGGGGUAAAGGCCUACCAAGGCGACGAUCCAUAGCUGGUCUGAGAGGAUGAUCAGCCACACUGGGACUGAGACACGGCCCAGACUCCUACGGGAGGCAGCAGUGGGGAAUAUUGGACAAUGGGCGCAAGCCUGAUCCAGCCAUGCCGCGUGAGUGAUGAAGGCCCUAGGGUUGUAAAGCUCUUUCACCGGUGAAGAUAAUGACGGUAACCGGAGAAGAAGCCCCGGCUAACUUCGUGCCAGCAGCCGCGGUAAUACGAAGGGGGCUAGCGUUGUUCGGAUUUACUGGGCGUAAAGCGCACGUAGGCGGACUAUUAAGUCAGGGGUGAAAUCCCGGGGCUCAACCCCGGAACUGCCUUUGAUACUGGUAGUCUUGAGUUCGAGAGAGGUGAG